UCAUGAAUCUGACCCUAUUCAUAACCACGUUCAUCUCAAUCUCUUGUUCGGAAACUUUCAAUUACGAACCGUUGCCAAAUUUACGAGACCGAAACGCGUUAUAAAUACGACAUGUUGGUUGAACCUUACACACACACAUCUCGACCCACUCUCCUUCUCUCUCGUUUGCACUAGUCAUCGCCGGAGUUCAUCGAGUUACGUCGAGACACAGUUCUUCUCAUCUCGCCACAACCUCAGUUCGAAUCAUUGGAGUCGCCGGAGAAUUCGGGGCUUCGCCGGAGAUACGUUGGCCUCGAAUCGUCACUGUUCGGCUUUGCAGUAUGGUGCAGAGACCAGAACUUGAAGUUUCUUGGGAAUGAAGCAACCUGUUUUCUCCACUGCUCCCGUUGUUUGGGUUAUUUUUGUUUGACCAUUCAGUAACUUCCUCCGAAGAUGCAUGAAGGGCAGUUAAUUCUCUGUGUCGAGUUGAGACUGAUGGUCAAUAUAAUGUUAAUGAUAUAAAAAAUCACAUAUAAUUAUGUUGUCGAUAGAGUAUCUUACUUGAAAUCCAAUCAAGAACCAUAAAAUACGUAUCUAGG
RNAcentral lists this long non-coding RNA (578 nucleotides) under Helianthus annuus (common sunflower). RNAcentral's name for it is "sRNA HanXRQr2_Chr09g0402591". The record is from RNAcentral. Lineage: Eukaryota; Viridiplantae; Streptophyta; Magnoliopsida; Asterales; Asteraceae.